This 1952-nucleotide ribosomal RNA is filed under the name human gut metagenome. RNAcentral's name for it is "bacterial LSU rRNA". It matches the Rfam family "Bacterial large subunit ribosomal RNA", at positions 3 to 1983 of the family's 2925-position model. The record is from RNAcentral.
UCAAGCAAAAAAGAGCGCAGGGUGGAUGCCUUGGCACUAAGAGCCGAAGAAAGACGUGAUAAGCUGCGAAAAGCUGCGGGGAGGAGCAAAUAUCCACUGAUCCGCAGAUGUCUGAAUGGGGAAACCCGCAUGAGCAUACCUCAUGCAUCCAUACGCCAAUCCAUAACGUAUGGAGGGGAACCGCCUGAACUGAAACAUCUAAGUAGGGCGAGGAAGAGAAAGAAAAUUUAUCGAUUUCCAAAGUAGCGGCGAGCGAAAUGGAAAGAGGCCAAACCGGAGUGCGUGCACUCCGGGGUUCGGACCGCAUUUAAGAUUCAGUGAUUCUAGCAGAAAGGUUUGGGAAAGCCUGCCGGAGAGGGUGAAAGCCCCGUAAGCGAAAGGAGAACUGACUGAGCGGGAUCCAGAGUACAUCGAGACACGAGAAACCUUGAUGGAAUGAGCGGGGACCACCCCGUAAGCCUAAAUACUCCUUAGUGACCGAUAGCGCAUAGUACUGUGAAGGAAAGGUGAAAAGGACCCCGGGAGGGGAGUGAAAGAGAACCUGAAACCCUGUGUUUACAAGCUGUGGGACAUCUUUACAUGAUGAACCGCGUACUUUUUGUAGAACGGUCCGGCGAGUUGCGGAUGCCGGCAAGGUUAAGCACUUAAGGUGUGGAGCCGAAGGGAAACCAAGUCUGAAGAGGGCGCAUAUAGUCAGUAUCCGCAGACCCGAAACCGGGUGAUCUACCCAUGUCCAGGUUGAAGUUGCCGUAAAAGGCAAUGGAGGACCGAACGCACAUCCGUUGAAAAGGGUGGCGAUGAGGUGUGGGUAGGGGAGAAAUUCCAAUCGAACCCGGAGAUAGCUGGUUCUCCUCGAAAUAGCUUUAGGGCUAGCCUCGUUUUAGUCUUAUGGAGGUAGAGCACUGAAUUUCCGCGGGGGCGUCAAAGCUUACCAAAGAAUAUCAAACUCCGAAUGCCAUGUAGAUGAUGAACGGGAGUCAGACUGCACGAGAUAAGUUGGGCAGUCAAAAGGGAAAGAGCCCAGACCGCCAGCCAAGGUCCCAAAGUGUGUGUUAAGUGGAAAAGGAUGUGGGAUCUCCAAGACAACUAGGAUGUUGGCUCAGAAGCAGCCACACAUUCAAAGAGUGCGUAACAGCUCACUAGUCGAGAGGUCCUGCGCCGAAAAUGUCCGGGGCUGAAACACAACACCGAAGCUGCGGAAUUGCGAAUGCAAUUGGUAGAGGAGCAUUCUUAAUACCGACGAAGCUGUACCGGAAGGAGCAGUGGAGGGAUAAGAAGAGAGAAUGCCGGAAUGAGUAGCGAGAGAGAGGUGGGAAUCCUCUCGGCCGAAUAUCCAAGGUUUCCAGAGUAAAGCUGAUCUGCUCUGGGUAAGUCGGGGCCUAAGGCGAGGUCAAAAGACGUAGCCGAUGGACAACAGGUUUAGAUUCCUGUACCGCAUAUAAACAGAACUGUGGGGACGCAUGGGGAGAGCAUGGGCCGGGAAUGGAAAUACCGGUGCAAGCGAAGGAGGUGUGCAGCCGGCAAAUCCGCUGCAUGAGCCGAAAGCGUGACGCGGAGCGAAAUGAAAGUAGCGAAGCAUGUGAGCCCUGUGCCGAGAAAAGCCGCUAUUGCUUUAUAUGUGCCCGUACCGUAAACCGACACAGGUGGAUGAGGAGAGAAUCCUAAGGCCGGCGGAAGAAGUAUUGUUAAGGAACUCGGCAAAAUGACCCCGUAACUUCGGGAGAAGGGGUGCCCACGGGAGUGGGCCGCAGAGAAUAGGCUCAAGCAACUGUUUAGCAAAAACACAGGUCUAUGCGAAACCGAAAGGUGAAGUAUAUGGGCUGACGCCUGCCCGGUGCUGGAAGGUUAAGAGGAGAGGUUAGCGCAAGCGAAGCUUUGAAUUUAAGCCCCAGUAAACGGCGGCCGUAACUAUAACGGUCCUAAGGUAGCGAAAUUCCUUGUCGGGUAAGUUC